Molecule: ribosomal RNA, 459 nt
Filed under: uncultured bacterium
Lineage: Bacteria
Description: partial 16S ribosomal RNA
Rfam family: Bacterial small subunit ribosomal RNA
Source: RNAcentral
CCUACGGGGGGCAGCAGUGAGGAAUAUUGGUCAAUGGGCGAGAGCCUGAACCAGCCAAGUCGCGUGAGGGAAGACGGUCCUAUGGAUUGUAAACCUCUUUUGCCGGGGAGCAAAAAGCGGUACGUGUACCGCAUCGAGAGUACCCGGAGAAAAAGCAUCGGCUAACUCCGUGCCAGCAGCCGCGGUAAUACGGAGGAUGCGAGCGUUAUCCGGAUUUAAUGGGUUAAAAGGGUGCGCAGGCGGCGAGUUAAGUCAGCGGUAAAAGUUCGGGGCUCAACCCCGACAAGCCGUUGAAAAUGGCUUGCUAGAGUGGGCGAGAAGUAUGCGGAAUGCGUGGUGUAGCGGUGAAAUGCAUAGAUAUCACGAGGAACCCCGAUUGCGAAGGCAACCUGCCGGGGUGCGACUGACGCUGAGGCUCGAAGGUGCGGGUAUCAAACAGGAUUAGAUACCCGUGUAGUC